UGCCAGCAGCCGCGGUAAUACAGAGGUCCCAAGCGUUGUUCGGAAUCACUGGGCGUAAAGCGUGCGUAGGCGGUAAGAUAAGUCAGAUGUGAAAUCUUCGGGCUCAACCCGGAAACUGCAUCCGAUACUACCUUACUAGAGAGACGGAGGGGAGUCUGGAAUUCACGGUGUAGCAGUGAAAUGCGUAGAUAUCGUGAGGAACACUAGUGGCGAAGGCGAGACUCUGGACGUCAUCUGACGCUGAGGCACGAAGGCUAGGGUAGCGAAAGGGAUUAGAUA
This 279-nucleotide ribosomal RNA is filed under the name uncultured bacterium. RNAcentral's name for it is "partial 16S ribosomal RNA". It matches the Rfam family "Bacterial small subunit ribosomal RNA", at positions 506 to 784 of the family's 1533-position model. The record is from RNAcentral.